RNAcentral lists this ribosomal RNA (492 nucleotides) under uncultured bacterium. Its description in RNAcentral is "partial 16S ribosomal RNA". It matches the Rfam family "Bacterial small subunit ribosomal RNA", at positions 29 to 507 of the family's 1533-position model. The record is from RNAcentral.
AGUGAACGCUGGCGGCAGGCCUAACACAUGCAAGUCGAACGACAGCACAGUAAGAGCUUGCUCUUACGGGUGGCGAGUGGCGGACGGGUGAGGAAUACAUCGGAAUCUACUUUUUCGUGGGGGAUAACGGAGGGAAACUGACGCUAAUACCGCAUACGACCUACGGGUGAAAGCAGUGGAUCUUCGGACCUUGCGCGAUUGAAUGAGCCGAUGUCGGAUUAGCUAGUUGGCGGGGUAAAGGCCCACCAAGGCGACGAUACGUAGCUGGUCUGAGAGGAUGAUCAGCCACACUGGAACUGAGACACGGUCCAGACUCCUACGGGAGGCAGCAGUGGGGAAUAUUGGGCAAUGGGCGCAAGCCUGAUCCAGCCAUACCGCGUGAGUGAAGAAGGCCUUCGGAUUGUAAAGCCCUUUUGUUGGGAAAGAAAAGCAGCAGAUUAAUACCCCGCUGUUCUGACGGUACCCAAACAAUAAGCACCGGCUAACUUCGUG